Long non-coding RNA from Microcebus murinus (gray mouse lemur), 396 nucleotides. RefSeq lists it as uncharacterized. Lineage: Eukaryota; Metazoa; Chordata; Mammalia; Primates; Cheirogaleidae. The record is from RefSeq and is a predicted model, not a curated record.
CAAUGUACACAUCACGACUCAUCCUAGCAUCUCUUGGCUGCCUGAAGUUUAAACUGUGUUCUGUUGACUUGCUGGGGUCAGGAGAAUAAGAGUUAAAGAAAGGGAAAGGCAGUGCCAUGCCUUCGCCCAUUCCAGACGGAGCUGAAGAGAAAAGAGAUGAAAUAAAGCAAAAGAAACAAGAGGGACUAAAACAAGCUUCUACGGCCCUCUCUAAGAAUUUCACUGGAGGUCUAAUUUUAAAGAAGGAUGCGUGAAGAUUGAGGAAAGGGGAAUGAACACUUUCAACCAUCUUGUCAUGAGAAAUUUGUCAGCGCUGGAAACACACUAUUUUGGUGCUGUUUCCAGUUUUCCCUGCUUUUCCUCACGAAGAAUAAUAAUUCUGUUCUGUCCUCUCCC